This 76-nucleotide transfer RNA is filed under the name Pantanalinema rosaneae CENA516. RNAcentral's name for it is "tRNA-Lys". It matches the Rfam family "tRNA". Rfam says of the family: Transfer RNA (tRNA) molecules are approximately 80 nucleotides in length. Their secondary structure includes four short double-helical elements and three loops (D, anti-codon, and T loops). Further hydrogen bonds mediate the characteristic L-shaped molecular structure. tRNAs have two regions of fundamental functional importance: the anti-codon, which is responsible for specific mRNA codon recognition, and the 3' end, to which the tRNAs corresponding amino acid is attached (by aminoacyl-tRNA synthetases). tRNAs cope with the degeneracy of the genetic code in two manners: having more than one tRNA (with a specific anti-codon) for a particular amino acid; and 'wobble' base-pairing, i.e. permitting non-standard base-pairing at the 3rd anti-codon position. The record is from RNAcentral. Lineage: Bacteria; Bacillati; Cyanobacteriota; Cyanophyceae; Leptolyngbyales; Leptolyngbyaceae. RNAcentral also lists the same sequence under 4 other names.
GGGUUGUUAGCUCAGUUGGUAGAGCAGCCGCCUCUUAAGCGGAAGUGCAUAGGUUCAAACCCUAUACAACCCACCA